Molecule: long non-coding RNA, 1501 nt
Organism: Xiphophorus hellerii (green swordtail)
Lineage: Eukaryota; Metazoa; Chordata; Actinopteri; Cyprinodontiformes; Poeciliidae
Exons: 2
Source: RefSeq, a predicted model, not a curated record
GGUUAGGGAUAUAGGUUUUUGUUUGAUCCUUGUUUGAACCGCUCUCUUACGCCCAUAAACCGGCCUACGGUCAUCUUGGUUCAUCCAAGGUAGUGCGCUCUCACUCGAGAUCAUACAGCUAGCCGGGAUGACUGGACCCUGUCUUAUAGGUGUUAUGUGCAAUUGUUAACAAGUAACCUGAUCUGUGAUGUGCUGUGUAAGUGCAAAGUGGAUGCCUGUUUAGUGGGACCAGCCCAACUAAACUAUGCGUGUAUUGUCAUGUACUGCAUAGGGAAAAUUUUUUUGAUAAGUAACUAAAUAAAAGAUAAAAGAUAAAAGUUAAAGUGAAGUUAAAAGUAAAACUAAAAAAUUGGGUUUAGAGUCCACAAUUUUAAUACGGUUCAGGGCCAACUUUAAUUGGUUAGGUUUAGAAUAAAAGUUAUAAUAAGUUUCCAAAUUAAUUGGUUGUGUUUUAAGGUCAAGGGUCAUAAUGAGCUUCAAACCUACCCGUUAAUUGGUUAGGUUUAGAGUCAAAGGGUAUGGUGAGGUUCAAAAUCCCACUUAAUUAGGUUUAGAGUCAACCGUUAACGCGAAUUUUAAGGUUUAAUUUAAUUGGUUAGGUUUAGAGUCAAAGGGUAUGGUUAGGUUCAAAAUCCCAAUUACUUAGGUUUAGAGUCAACCGUUAAAGCGAAUUUUAAGACUUAAUUUAAUUGGUUAGGUUUAGAAUCAAAGGUUAUGAUGAGUUUCCAAGUUUAGCUGGUUAUGUUUUGGGGUCAAGGUCAUAAUAAAGUUAAAAAUACCAAUUAAUCAGGUAGAUUAUGUAGUUUAAGGAUAUGGUGAGUUUUUCCUUUUCCGAUUAAUUAAUUAGGUUUAGAGUCAGCAGUUGGAUUAACUAAUCCUUAUUAUUCUCCGAAAAAGACUUAAAUUAUUUUAAUUGUUUUUAGUUUAAUUUUUUGAGAGAGAUAUUUACAAUUAUCCUAUUUUCUCAAUAUUUUAAUAGCGUUUUUAACAGCGGUUCGGCGGUACCGCACCGACGUUAAAACGUAGCUAAGUAUCUAAAUUUUAGAAUCCGCUCGUCAGUGGUGUACCGCUGGAUCAACGGGUGUUUCGGCCGUGGACAACACCAUACACCCUCCUCAGCGGCGGCAACCCGGGGUGAUCAAAUCCCGGGCCGGAUUCCAUAUUCAAUUGGCAGUUUUUUUGCUAAUUUCGAGUGGGAAAAGUGGUAAAACUAGUUAUUUAAUUAAUAAUCUCCGUAAGUUUUUUUUGUUUUAAAUUAUUCAACGAUCGUUCCGUAACAAAGGGAAGGUAUUUACUUACAUAUUCAACCAAGAUUGUUACUAUUUUUCAACAAAAUGUAUUUUCUUAUGUCCGCUCUCUUCUUGUUUGUUGCGGCUGUGUAUCAACCAACGGUCAAGAUCCUUCUGGAACUUUCCAGCGGACGAGCGGGGGAGAGAGAGAGAGAGAGAGAGAGAGAGAGAGAGAGCACGCAUGCGCCCCAGCAUCCGAGCGGCAACGUCAU